GAUGGCGACCGGCGCACGGGUGAGUAACACGUAUCCAACCUGCCGAUGACUCGGGGAUAGCCUUUCGAAAGAAAGAUUAAUACCCGAUGGCAUAGUUCUUCCGCAUGGUAGAACUAUUAAAGAAUUUCGGUCAUCGGAUGGGGAUGCGUUCCAUUAGGUUGGUUGGCGGGUAACGGCCCACCAAGCCUUCGAUGGAUAGGGGUUCUGAGACGGAAGGUCCCCCACAUUGGAACUGAGACACGGUCCAAACUCCUACGGGAGGCGCAUG
Molecule: ribosomal RNA, 268 nt
Filed under: uncultured bacterium
Lineage: Bacteria
Description: partial 16S ribosomal RNA
Rfam family: Bacterial small subunit ribosomal RNA
Source: RNAcentral